Molecule: small RNA, 335 nt
Filed under: Histoplasma capsulatum
Lineage: Eukaryota; Fungi; Ascomycota; Eurotiomycetes; Onygenales; Ajellomycetaceae
Also listed under: 1 other name
Description: hypothetical RNA
Source: RNAcentral
GUCACUUUACAUGAAAUAUCAAGAUUUUUUAAUCCCAUUUCACUCAUGUUUUGAUAAUUCUAGUCACUUUACACUUCCAUUCUGAUUCUGAUUCUACUAAAAUCAUGCCAAGAAAUGGACUGGGAUCAAAUCAAAUCAAAUCAAAUGUGUAAUUCAUGGUCCCACCGGCCAGUCUAGUGAUAGUUAUGAUAAUGAGAUGGUGGGAAUAAGAGAAGAAUUCUGAAGAGACAAGAUUAGAUAGAUCAAGAAGUUGAAUAUCUUGAAUAUAAUGCAGCUGAGAUAUUGAUUGAUCAAUAUAAGAAAAAGUAAAGUAUCUAGAUAAAUAAAAUCACUGA